Bombyx mandarina (wild silkworm) is the source of this 2236-nucleotide unclassified non-coding RNA. The record is from RefSeq and is a predicted model, not a curated record. Lineage: Eukaryota; Metazoa; Arthropoda; Insecta; Lepidoptera; Bombycidae.
CACUGCUUAGGAACGGUGCAUGGAAAGCAUAUAAGGUGCGAAGAGCCGGAUUGCGCGGGUUCCGAGCUUUAUAAUUAUAAACGAUAUCACUCCUUGAUUUUAAUAGCGGUUGCUGAUGCAAAUUAUUAUUUCAUCAGCGUUGACAUAGGUGCUUAGGGCAGCAGUAGUACUACAAUUUUUUUAAAUUCUACAUUUUUUUUUAUUGCCUUUGUACACAAGUUUGGCACAAGUUCGUCAAUUCAACAUGCCACCAUUGAAAAACUGCGUGGUGCAGAAAACUACUCCACGUGGAAGUUCUCCAUGCGGAUGUUAUUAAUCCAUGAAGAGUUAUGUGAUUCCGUCACGGAUAAAUGGGAAUUGACGGAAGCCAUGAAGAAAAGAGCGAAAAGUCAUUGGCACGUAUUGCGUUGUCGGUGCAGCCAGCGGUCAUCCCAUGCAUCCGCACCGCCACCAGCGCACACGAGGCGUGUAAUAACCUAAGUAAGGCGUUCGGAGGGCGCGGCUUGUAUAGGAGACUUGGCAUACUGAGAAGUCUCUUCGGUGUCAAGUUAUCGUAUAGCAGUUCAGUUAUCGGAUAGCAGUUCCAUGGAAGCCUACAUCAAUAAAAUUAAAGAGUUGGCGUGUCAACUGAGUGAAAUGGAAUCCGCAUUGGAUGAUGAGUUUAUUGCCGUUAUAAUGCUAAGUGGGCUCACAGAAGAUUUUGACCCCCUCAUCAUGGCAAUUGAGAACUCAAAUGUAAAACUCACCACGGAACUUGUCUCAGGAAAACUCUUGGCAGAAAACCAGAGGCGUGAGGAGAAACAAGAUAUCACUGCGUUGGUAACCAAGAAGCCACCGAGAUGCUUCAAGUGCAAAAAUGUGGGUCAUAUUUCUAAGAAUUGUUCCAACAAAGGAAGCUUCAAGGAGUCAGCGGACGUAGGAGGCAACAAAGGCAAAAAUAAAUCCAGAUAUCAGACUAGGAACAAUCCGAAGCAGAAUAUCCCAAAGGACAAAGCGCUCUUUGCAGCUCUGUCUGUAAAAAUAAGUAGUGAUGUGUGGUACAUUGACUCCGGUGCUACUAAUCAUAUGUGCAAUGAUAAAAAGUACAUGAUGGACUUCCGACCUAAUAGUGUGGAUGUGAGCAUCGUGAAUGGUGAAAAGCUACGAACAGGUGGCAUUGGACAUGUAAAAGUAUUUGAACUUUUACAUGUCCAAUGCCACCUGUUUGAAAGACUGUAUAAGAACAAUAAGUGAUGUGUAUUAUGUUUCUAAUCUUAGUACGAACUUAUUGUCAGUAAGUGCCAUAACAAAGAAAGGGUAUACUGUUGAAUUUAAUAAUAAAUUAUGUAGGGUCUAUGACAAACAUGAAUGUCUAGUAACAGGUACACAGACAAGUGGUGUCUAUCAGCUGGAUACUGUGUCAGACAACGGCUGUGUCGUCGCUUCGGCUGUGAUGGCUUCGGCAAAGAUUCACACUGCUAAUGCGGCAACGAUGUUAUCUCAGGAGGUAUGGCCCAGAAGACUCGGGCACCUAAACUCGAGGAGUAUGCAAUUGCUACAAAAAGGAAUUUCUCAAGAAGAAUGGCAUCCAACACCAGAAAACUAUUGCGGAUAGUCCGCAACAGAAUGGUGUUGCUGAACGGGCCAAUAGGUCCGUCAUAGAGAAGGCAUGGAGUAUGCUGCGGGAUCCUAGGCUGGGAAUGAAAUUUUGGGCUGAGGCUGUGAACACUGCCGUAUACCUUAAGAACCGAAGUCCAACCAAAGCUGUGAUAGGAGCUACUCCGGAGGAAAAAUGGUCCAACAAAGGUAAAUCUGCACCAUUUAUGAAUCUUUGGAUGCAAUGCCUAUGCAAUGAUAAAGAAUAGGAAGAAAUUAGAAUCAAAAAGUAAACCAUACAUAUUUGUGGGCAACAGUUAGGAGUCAAAAGGCUAUAGACUCAUAGACCCACAUGAUCCCACGUUGUGUUUUUGCCCGUAACAUAGUUUUUGUUGAAACAAAAUUCUAUGAACAAAAAAGUGUGUCACAUGAUGAAAAUUCAGACCAACACAUGUUUGUUGACAUGAGUUUAAAUACAGAUGGUCCUCAUGAGUUGGAGCUACCCACUGUGAGUUCUGAUGUUUCUGAUGACACAAUAUUAUCACAGAGCGGACACAGAAAACAGAGGCAUAGCGCAACCACAUUGGACGGUUCUGAUAGCGGAGAAACGGAUUAUGAUGCAAAUGACUGCUUGGAUGAAACUUAUGUUCCAGGGGACGAU